Dioscorea cayenensis subsp. rotundata (Guinea yam) is the source of this 107-nucleotide small nucleolar RNA. The record is from RefSeq and is a predicted model, not a curated record. NCBI's taxonomy places the organism in Eukaryota, Viridiplantae, Streptophyta, Magnoliopsida, Dioscoreales, Dioscoreaceae.
AAUCCAUGUUGUGGACACUUCCACAAUAGGUCCUUGAAUCACUCCUAUGUCUCAAACAAGGACUUGAGCUCCAUCUAAAUAAUCCACGAUAUCUCAUUACGAAGCUU